RNAcentral lists this long non-coding RNA (204 nucleotides) under Nicotiana benthamiana. Its description in RNAcentral is "long non-coding RNA (NBEN_LNC000132)". The record is from RNAcentral. Lineage: Eukaryota; Viridiplantae; Streptophyta; Magnoliopsida; Solanales; Solanaceae.
AGUGUCAAGGAGCAGAAUACUCUUCAAGGAGUAUGGAAUAAUCUUAAGUCCCUCAAACAUCCUUAAAAUCUCUUAAUGUUAGAGAUUAAGAAUAUUUCUCAAAAGAUUGAAAGUAGCAGGAAAGAACUGGAAGAUGUGCAACAUCAACUGGCUACUUCUUAUUCAGAUACACUUCAGCAAAGAGCAAAAGAUAUGGUACAGCAG